This 468-nucleotide ribosomal RNA is filed under the name uncultured bacterium. RNAcentral's name for it is "partial 16S ribosomal RNA". It matches the Rfam family "Bacterial small subunit ribosomal RNA", at positions 28 to 507 of the family's 1533-position model. The record is from RNAcentral.
GACGAACGCUGGCGGCGUGCUUAACACAUGCAAGUCGAACGGAAAGGCCCUGCUUUUGUGGGGUGCUCGAGUGGCGAACGGGUGAGUAACACGUGAGUAACCUGCCCUUGACUUUGGGAUAACUACAGGUAACUGGGGCUAAUACCGGAUAGGAGCUCCUGCUGCAUGGUGGGGGGUGGAAAGUUUCGGCGGUGGGGGAUGGACUCGCGGCUUAUCAGCUUGUUGGUGGGGCAGUGGCUUACCAAGGCUUUGACGGGUAGCCGGCCUGGGAGGGUGACCGGGCACAUUGGGACUGAGAUACGGCCCAGACUCCUACGGGAGGCAGCAGUGGGGAAUAUUGCACAAUGGGCGGAAGCCUGAUGCAGCAACGCCGCGUGCGGAAUGACGGCCUUCGGGUUGUAAACCGCUUUCGCCUGUGACGAAGCGUGAGUGACGGUAAUGGGUAAAGAAGCACCGGCUAACUACGUG